This 253-nucleotide ribosomal RNA is filed under the name uncultured bacterium. RNAcentral describes it as "partial 16S ribosomal RNA". It matches the Rfam family "Bacterial small subunit ribosomal RNA", at positions 524 to 776 of the family's 1533-position model. The record is from RNAcentral.
UACAGAGACUGCAAGCGUUAUUCGGAUUCGCUGGGCGUAAAGGGUGCGCAGGCGGCCGGGUGUGUCAGAUGUGAAAUCCCGAGGCUUAACCUCGGAACUGCGUCUGAAACUACUCGGCUAGAGUAUUGGAGAGGGUAACGGAAUUCACGGUGUAGCAGUGAAAUGCGUAGAUAUCGUGAGGAACACCAGAGGCGAAGGCGGUUACCUGGACAAUUACUGACGCUCAGGCACGAAAGCAUGGGGAGCAAAAGGG